GGGAGUGUGGCGGAAGUGGUAGACGCAGCGGACUUAAAAUCCUCCGGGCAGUGGCCCUUACGGGUUCGAGUCCCGUCACUCCCACCA
Molecule: transfer RNA, 87 nt
Filed under: Synergistetes bacterium ADurb.BinA166
Lineage: Bacteria; Thermotogati; Synergistota
Also listed under: 2 other names
Description: tRNA-Leu
Rfam family: tRNA
About the family: Transfer RNA (tRNA) molecules are approximately 80 nucleotides in length. Their secondary structure includes four short double-helical elements and three loops (D, anti-codon, and T loops).
Source: RNAcentral